Molecule: transfer RNA, 65 nt
Filed under: Leiochrinini sp. 2 ACP-2013
Lineage: Eukaryota; Metazoa; Arthropoda; Insecta; Coleoptera; Tenebrionidae
Description: tRNA-Ser
Source: RNAcentral
AACUAAUGAGCUUGAAUAAGCAUAUAUUUUGAAAAUAUAUGAUAGAGUAAUUACUCUAUUAGUUU